GAGUCGGGUGGAGCAGGGAGGGCGUCCGGCUGGACCGGGGCUGGCCCUUGGCACGAUCUCCUUGCCACACUCUCUGGCCAUGUCACAGGCAGGAAGCGGACCUUGCAGGGGCCAUGCAGGGAAGCACGGGCCACCAGGUGAGGUCACCGUGGACUAGUCAGAGCACCCAGCAGAAGAUCCUAAAGUACCUGGGGAGGGAUUCAUGCUGCAAAGGAGGGAGGUGGUCAGGGGAGUGUGAGAGUCCAGUCCCACAAGUCGGUGGCCCUCCUGCCCCUCUGGUGUCUCACUGGUCUUGCCCUCAGUGCCACCUGGAAGGAGAGCAGUGUGACCGGCCAGGCGGAUACCACCAUCCUGGGAGCUGUGUGGGCUGUGGAACUGCAGUUCCACCCAGGGUCCCCACCCAGGGUCCCUCCACACCCCCAUCCAGGGCACAGAAGAGGCCCUUUAUGAAACGGACGGCCGAGGGUAGGCAUGGGGGGAGGGGCAGAGAACUCCUCAGAUGUUGUUAAAGUGUCGGGAGGACAUCACAGGCAGCACCCAGAGCCAUGUCAGCGUGGGGGGCCCAGGGCUGACUCCAGAACCUCCCCUGCAAGCAUGUCCUAUGCUGGACAUGUGUCCCCUGGGCCACUUCCCUGGUGGUAGAUUCGCCUGGCUCUCUAGAGGCUCAAAGCCUUGCCGUGUUCCUUGUCCUCUGAAACGCUGUCUGGGGGAGGGGUGGGGACCCUUUCCUGAAGGCUGCUGGACAUGGAUCCCCACAACAGGCCCCUCCCCAGGGAGUGCAUUCCCAAGGCCAGGCAGGUCCAGUGUUGGUGGCAGCACUCCUGGGGGCACGGGCCUUGGUGUCUCUGUUCCACAGUGCCACCACUGGUCACUGUGGAAAACGACAUAGGCCCCACUGUCCUGAGCAGGGAGGCUGCAGGGCCGGGAGGGGGAUCUGUGGGCCUUGCCCCCUGCGGAGCCUGCUCCCUACAGGGCUUGGACCUCACUUUCUAGUCCCUGAGAGUUUUAUCAAAGGCUUUGAAGAAGAACAGGGGCUUGCCUCUCCCCCCAGGAACCUGACUCAUCUACAAAAUGACAUCACUGUUCCCACAGAGGCCAUCCCCACAGGAAGAGGGAAGCUGGGGUGCAGGACCAACCCAAGCUUUUCCAGCGCCACCUGGGGCUCAAGCUUCCUGACCCACACACCCUCCUCUUCUACCUCCUCAGAAAAACAGAAGCCUGCCCAUUAUUAACUGAUGUUUGAAGUUUAGAAACAUAUGUGCUGCGAAUCAAAGUGCAUUGUUAGGGCUCAAACUUCAGUUUUAUAAUGUAGGAGACUUUUUAAAAAUAAAUUAUGAUAUGAGAACAGUAGGGCAGCGAGGACAGUCCGGCUCAAUGGUCCCAUGAACCGCAUCUUCGAAGAGGAAAUUUCCUGGCUGUGGAGCAAACGGUAAGAGAUCAGCCUUCACCAAAGUAUUACUAUAAAGAGGAACAAGGAGGCCCUGCUUCGGGACCACGGAGCAGACACACCUUUCCCUCUCCCUCCUUCGGGGGCAGCUACACAAUAUCAAACAGGAGAAGCCGGUGCCGGGUGGAGAGAGGGUUGAACCGUGGGGCCAGGCCCGCUUCCCUCUGCCCAGCCUGGCUGUGCCCUGCCCCACACCCUGCUGCCACCCAGCUCCACUGUGCCCAGGGGGCCUGGCAGAGCUCUGGGGAGGGACCGUGUCUUCCAAGGGGAGGUGGCCUGUCCAGCUUGUUGCGUUUGGUCUUCUGUGACCUGGCUGCUGUCCUCUCACUGUGUCACCUAGAGGCUGUGUGUACUUGUGUGAGGGGCCGGGGGACAGCGCUGAAGGAAAUCCAUCAGUUCUGCUUUCAAAUAACAGAACACACCAGCAGAUGCACUGGGCAGAUGAGGGCUUCUUAGCAUUUUGCAAAAUACCAGCAGCAGCUGCCUGCCCGAUGGCUCCUGGCUCUCUAAGCCGGCCUGUGGGGACGGGCCUUGCACCCAGAGGGGUCAGAGCAUCCUGGCUGUCCUCUCCAUCAAUGGCCACUGAGGGGCCAGAAGCCAAGGGGUCACCCACACCCCCGGGGUCCCCUGUGCCCACCAUCUUGCUCCAACCUUUGAGCCACCUUAGUGUCUUCAAGUGAGCAAUAGUGACAAGAAAAAAUAGUCCCCAAACAUCUCCAAGUGCUACCAUUAUCAGUAAAAAUCUUUUGCGCAUGCGUUGCCCAUAUGGGUAUGAUGGUCUAUUGAGACAGCGGCAUCAAGCACUUUAAUGCCACUAGUGUUUUGUAUUAUGAGCAAAAACGUCAACUAAAAGUGAAUGAGAUGCACAUAAAGGGUGAGUGUGCUGGUUUGGAUAGUGUGUUGCCCACAUUCCUGUCCUCGGAGCAUCAGGAUGUGACCUAUGUACAGUUAGUUAAGAUGAGGUUGUCCUGGAGGGAGCACACCCUUAGUCCAGCAAGAUUCACUCCUCAUAGAAGGAGGACAAAGGACACAGAGACAGGGACCCACGCAGGAAUGCCACAUGACAGGAGAGGCAGAGGUCACAGCUACGUGGCUGCAAACCAAGGUGGCGGCAACACCAGGAGCUGGAAGAGACAAGGAAGGUCCUCCCCUGGAGGCUUCUGGACAGGCUGGCCCUCCGACACCCCCUUCAUGGACUUCUGACUCCACUUCUCGUGUUUUAAGCCGUUCAGCUGUGGCAAUUCCUGACAUCGGGGGAGCCAACACGACAUAGAGAAAAGCAAAUCAGAACUACUCUAGGGUUCCAUCUCACUCCAGUCAGAUGGCAGUCAUCAAGAAUACAGGCAAAAAUCAGUGUUGGCGAGGACAUGGGGAAAAGGGCACACUCAUACAUUGCUGGUGGGACUGCAAAUUGGUGCAACCACUAUGGAAAGCAGGAUGGAGAUUCCUCAGAAAACUUGGAAUGAAACCACCAUCUGACCAAGUUAUCCCACUCCUCAGUUUAUAUCAAAAGGACUUAAAAUCAGCAUACUACAGUGACACAGCCACAUCAAUGUUUAUAGCAGCACAAUUCACAAUAGCCAAACUAUGGAACCAACCUAGAUGCUCUUCAACAGACGAAUGGAUAAAGAAAAUGUGGUCCAUAUACACAAUGGAAUAUUACUCAGCCUUAAAGAAGAAUGAAAUUAUAGCAUUUGCAGGUAAAUGGAUGGAACUGGAGACUAUCAUGC
This 3177-nucleotide long non-coding RNA is filed under the name Marmota monax (woodchuck). The record is from RNAcentral. Lineage: Eukaryota; Metazoa; Chordata; Mammalia; Rodentia; Sciuridae.